RNAcentral lists this ribosomal RNA (434 nucleotides) under uncultured Lachnospiraceae bacterium. Its description in RNAcentral is "bacterial SSU rRNA". It matches the Rfam family "Bacterial small subunit ribosomal RNA", at positions 341 to 792 of the family's 1533-position model. Lineage: Bacteria; Bacillati; Bacillota; Clostridia; Lachnospirales; Lachnospiraceae. The record is from RNAcentral.
ACGGGAGGCAGCAGUGGGGAAUAUUGCACAAUGGGGGAAACCCUGAUGCAGCGACGCCGCGUGAGCGAUGAAGUAUUUCGGUAUGUAAAGCUCUAUCAGCAGGGAAGAUAAUGACGGUACCUGACUAAGAAGCUCCGGCUAAAUACGUGCCAGCAGCCGCGGUAAUACGUAUGGAGCAAGCGUUAUCCGGAUUUACUGGGUGUAAAGGGAGCGCAGGCGGUAUUGUAAGUCUGAUGUGAAAAUCCGGGGCUCAACCCCGGAACUGCAUUGGAAACUGCAGUACUAGAGUGUCGGAGGGGUAAGCGGAAUUCCUGGUGUAGCGGUGAAAUGCGUAGAUAUCAGGAGGAACACCGGUGGCGAAGGCGGCUUACUGGACGAUAACUGACGCUGAGGCUCGAAAGCGUGGGGAGCAAACAGGAUUAGAUACCCUGGUA